GCCCAGACUCCUACGGGAGGCAGCAGUGGGGGAUAUUGCACAAUGGGGGGAACCCUGAUGCAGCGACGCCGCGUGGGUGAAGGAGCGUUUCGGCGCGUAAAGCCCUAUCAGCAGGGAAGAAAAUGACGGUACCUGACUAAGAAGCCCCGGCUAAAUACGUGCCAGCAGCCGCGGUAAUACGUAUGGGGCAAGCGUUAUCCGGAUUUACUGGGUGUAAAGGGAGCGUAGGCGGCCUGGCAAGCCUGAUGUGAAAUACCGGGGCCCAACCCCGGGGCUGCAUUGGGAACUGCCAGGCUGGAGUGCCGGAGGGGCAGGCGGAAUUCCUGGUGUAGCGGUGAAAUGCGUAGAUAUCAGGAGGAACACCGGUGGCGAAGGCGGCCUGCUGGACUGCAACUGACGUUGAGGCCCGAAAGCGUGGGGAGCAAACAGGAUUAGAUACCCUAGUAC
Molecule: ribosomal RNA, 447 nt
Filed under: uncultured bacterium
Lineage: Bacteria
Description: bacterial SSU rRNA
Rfam family: Bacterial small subunit ribosomal RNA
Source: RNAcentral